This is a non-coding RNA of Pelobates cultripes (western spadefoot toad), 300 nucleotides long. The record is from the annotation of a GenBank genome assembly. Lineage: Eukaryota; Metazoa; Chordata; Amphibia; Anura; Pelobatidae.
UUUCAGGGUCCAUUUAAAGAUAAAAUUAUCUCACUAUAAACGGAGCCAGUGGCGAAAAUUGUAAAUUCUUUCUUUGAAUCAUCCCCAUUCCAAUAAAUAAUGGCACAAGGCAAGGUUGUCCAUUGGCUCCAUUACUUUACAUCUUAUCUCUUGAGCCACUGGCUAUUAUUAUUAGGGAGAACAAAGAAAUACAUGAUAUUAAAUCAGCUGAUCGUGAGUACAAAAUCUCCCUAUUUGCUGAUGAUUUGCUCUUGUCCCUGGUGAAGCCCUCAAUCUCUAUUCCAGAGGUUAUAAAAAAAC